GAUGAACGCUAGCGGCAGGCCUAAUACAUGCAAGCCGGACGGCAAGUUGAGUAGCAAUACUUGACCUAGAGUGGCGUAAGGGUGCGUAACACGUAUGCAAUCUGCCCACAGCCGGGAGAUAGCCCUCCGAAAGGAGGAUUAAUAUCCCAUAGGAAGAUGAGAUGGCAUCAUUUUAUUUUUAAACUACGGGGCUGUGGAUGAGCAUGCGGUUGAUUAGCUAGUUGGCGGGGUAAAGGCCCACCAAGGCGAUGAUCAAUAGGGGACCUGAGAGGGUGAUCCCCCACACUGGCACUGAGAUACGGGCCAGACUCCUACGGGAGGCAGCAGUAGGGAAUAUUGGACAAUGGGGGGCAACCCUGAUCCAGCAAUGCCGCGUGAGUGAUGAAGGCCUUAGGGUUGUAAAGCUCUUUUGCCAGGGAAGAUGAUGACUGUACCUGGAGAAUAAGCCCCGGGCUAACGUUCGUGCCAGCAGCCGCGGUAAU
This 482-nucleotide ribosomal RNA is filed under the name uncultured bacterium. RNAcentral's name for it is "bacterial SSU rRNA". It matches the Rfam family "Bacterial small subunit ribosomal RNA", at positions 28 to 524 of the family's 1533-position model. The record is from RNAcentral.